This 30-nucleotide small RNA is filed under the name Curtobacterium sp. ER1/6. The record is from RNAcentral. Lineage: Bacteria; Bacillati; Actinomycetota; Actinomycetes; Micrococcales; Microbacteriaceae.
AUGCUCACCGCCAAGGACGGCGAGUGGGAC